UCUGGUGGCCACAGCAGAGAGGAACCACCCGGUCCCAUUCCGAACCCGGAAGUGAAACUCUUUAGCGC
Molecule: ribosomal RNA, 68 nt
Filed under: bacterium
Lineage: Bacteria
Also listed under: 1 other name
Source: RNAcentral